AGAAGCUUCUGCCUUCACCCAUCCCUCCAGCUCUGCAGGACAGGUGGGGUCCAGGGUCCGUGGAGCACUAGACCUAAGGAAGCCUGCAUGGGGAGGACACAGGACAGUGACAUCACAGGGUACCCCUCCCAUCAGGAAAAUCAAGGCCCAGAACUCACUCAACUCUAUCCCAGGAGAACCAAGCCCUGCGUCAGGUGCAGUGCUGCCUGCCCCACUGUGCCAUGGGCCCCGGGCUUCUCUGCUGGGCGCUGCUUUGUCUCCUGGGAGCAGGCUCAGUGGACGCUGGAGUCACCCAAGUUCCCACACACCUGAUCAGAACGAGAGGACAGCAAGUGACUUUGAGAUGCUCUCCUAUCUCUGGGCACACCAGUGUGUCCUGGUACCAACAGGCCCUGGGUCAGGGGCCCCAGCUUAUCUUUGAAUAUGAUAGGAAGGAAGAGAGAGUCAGAGGCAACUUCCUUGAUCGAUUCUCAGGUCGCCAGUUCCCUAACUAUAGCUCUGAGCUGAAUGUGAACGCCUCGGAGAUGGGGGACUCGGCCCUGUAUCUCUGUGCCAGCAGCUUGGCACAGCCCGGCAGAGUCACUGACAUUCUGUAUGUAAACUUCCUGCCUUAGCUUUGACUUGAGAGCUGCAGGCCCCACCGAGGUUUCACUCUUUCAAGGGAAGCUUUUAGUUGUUUGGAAGGCAUGUCUUGUGUCCUACUGAGUGCAGAGCUCUCCCAACUAACAGAGUCCAGGUUUCCUGUGCCCUGAGAGUGCCCGC
Cercocebus atys (sooty mangabey) is the source of this 762-nucleotide non-coding RNA. Lineage: Eukaryota; Metazoa; Chordata; Mammalia; Primates; Cercopithecidae. The record is from the annotation of a RefSeq genome assembly.